AAGAACUAGUUGAACGUGUAUUUUGCAUGAAGAUCUGCAUUUUUACCCAUACAAAUUGGUCAUUAGGCAACAGUUGAAACCAUGGGACUAUGCACAGCAUCUUAACUUCACAUGUCAGACAGAAGCAAAUUUUGAGGCAAAUGACAACCUCAUUUUGUUAAUGAGUAAUGAAGCUCAUUUUCAUUUCAAUAACAUGGUGAAUCAACAGAACUGUCAUUAUUGGGCUCUUGAAAACUGAGAGAACUGCACAAAAGACCACUGCACAGCCCAAAAGUGAUG
Molecule: long non-coding RNA, 279 nt
Organism: Octopus sinensis (East Asian common octopus)
Lineage: Eukaryota; Metazoa; Mollusca; Cephalopoda; Octopoda; Octopodidae
Exons: 3
Source: RefSeq, a predicted model, not a curated record